Molecule: ribosomal RNA, 622 nt
Filed under: uncultured bacterium
Lineage: Bacteria
Description: bacterial SSU rRNA
Rfam family: Bacterial small subunit ribosomal RNA
Source: RNAcentral
GAUGAACGCUGGCGGUAUGCUUUACACAUGCAAGUCGUACGAGAGUUUUUAACUCUAGUGGCGGACGGGUGAGUAACACGUAAGAAUUUGCCUUUAGGAGGGGGAUAACAACUGGAAACGGUUGCUAAUACCCCAUAUGCUUUCGAGUGAAAUGGAUUUCCGCCUAAAGAGAAGCUUGCGGCUGAUUAGCUUGUUGGUGAGGUAAUGGCUCACCAAGGCGACGAUCAGUAUCUGGUUUGAGAGGACGAUCAGACACACUGGAACUGAGACACGGUCCAGACUCCUACGGGAGGCAGCAGUGGGGAAUCUUCCGCAAUGGGCGAAAGCCUGACGGAGCAAUACCGCGUGAGGGAUGAAAGCCUAUGGGUUGUAAACCUCUUUUUUCAGGGAGGAACAAAAUGACGUGUACCUGAAGAAUAAGCAUCGGCUAACUCCGUGCCAGCAGCCGCGGUAAGACGGGGGAUGCAAGUGUUAUCCGGAAUCACUGGGCGUAAAGCGUCUGUAGGUGGUUAAGUAAGUCAACUGUUAAAUCUUGAGGCUUAACCUCAAAAUCGCAGUCGAAACUGCUUGACUAGAGUAUAGUAGGGGUAAAGGGAAUUUCCAGUGGAGCGGUGAAAUGCGU